CCUACGGGUGGCAGCAGUCGAGAAUCAUUCACAAUGGGGGAAACCCUGAUGCUGCGACGCCGCGUGGGGGAAUGAAGGUCUUCGGAUUGUAAACCCCUGUCAUGUGGGAGCAAAUUAAAAAGAUAGUACCACAAGAGGAAGAGACGGCUAACUCUGUGCCAGCAGCCGCGGUAAUACAGAGGUCUCAAGCGUUGUUCGGAAUCACUGGGCGUAAGGCGUGCGUAGGCUGUUUCGUAAGUCGUGUGUGAAAGGCGCGGGCUCAACCCGCGGACGGCACAUGAUACUGCGAGACUAGAGUAAUGGAGGGGGAACCGGAAUUCGCGGUGGAGCAGUGAAAUGCGUAGAUAUCGAGAGGAACACUCGUGGCGAAGGCGGGUUCCUGGACAUUAACUGACGCUGAGGCACGAAGGCCAGGGGAGCGAAAGGGAUUAGAUACCCUAGUAGUC
Molecule: ribosomal RNA, 446 nt
Filed under: uncultured bacterium
Lineage: Bacteria
Description: partial 16S ribosomal RNA
Rfam family: Bacterial small subunit ribosomal RNA
Source: RNAcentral